RNAcentral lists this ribosomal RNA (390 nucleotides) under Triticum aestivum (bread wheat). RNAcentral's name for it is "partial small subunit ribosomal RNA". The record is from RNAcentral. Lineage: Eukaryota; Viridiplantae; Streptophyta; Magnoliopsida; Poales; Poaceae.
AUGAUCUGUUUCAUCUACAAUAGAAAUAUGCUUGGUAAAGGCCUCAUAUCACUUGGCAUCAAAGCGCUCAGGCUGCUUGAAAAGCAACAUGAUUCAUCCUCAAGACACAUUAUAAGCUUCAUCAUCUCACUGGUCUCUAGAUCAAGGCCUCCUGAAGCUCUCGUGCAUAGCGGAUGGCUAAAGCGUGCUGAUACUGUCAAGAGAGGUUGGGGUAGACCGAACUUGACAUGGGAGGAGUGCGUAAAGAGUGAUAUGAAGAACUGGUUUUCCCAAUUUUCCUUCCACCAUUUUGUAACCCUUUGCAGAACCGUCUGGGGAGGUUUCUUAACAUUGUCUACUCAUCUAUUGGGAAAUAGGUAUCUGUUAUCUAUCAUGUGGUUAUGGAACUGA